Molecule: ribosomal RNA, 731 nt
Filed under: fungal sp.
Lineage: Eukaryota; Fungi
Description: eukaryotic LSU rRNA
Rfam family: Eukaryotic large subunit ribosomal RNA (bases 512-731)
Source: RNAcentral
UGACCUGCGGAGGAUCAUUACUGAGUGAGGGCCCUCUGGGUCCAACCUCCCACCCGUGUUUAUUGUACCUUGUUGCUUCGGUGCGCCCGCCUCACGGCCGCCGGGGGGCUUCUGCCCCCGGGUCCGCGCGCACCGGAGACACUAUUGAACUCUGUCUGAAGAUUGCAGUCUGAGCAUAAACUAAAUAAGUUAAAACUUUCAACAACGGAUCUCUUGGUUCCGGCAUCGAUGAAGAACGCAGCGAAAUGCGAUAACUAAUGUGAAUUGCAGAAUUCAGUGAAUCAUCGAGUCUUUGAACGCACAUUGCGCCCCCUGGUAUUCCGGGGGGCAUGCCUGUCCGAGCGUCAUUGCUGCCCUCAAGCACGGCUUGUGUGUUGGGCUCCGUCCCCCCGGGGACGGGUCCGAAAGGCAGCGGCGGCACCGAGUCCGGUCCUCGAGCGUAUGGGGCUUUGUCACCCGCUCUGUAGGCCCGGCCGGCGCCAGCCGACAACCAAUCAUCCUUUUUUCAGGUUGACCUCGGAUCAGGUAGGGAUACCCGCUGAACUUAAGCAUAUCAAUAAGCGGAGGAAAAGAAACCAACAGGGAUUACCUCAGUAACGGCGAGUGAAGCGGUAAGAGCUCAAAUUUGAAAGCUGGCUCCUUCGGGGUCCGCAUUGUAUUUGGCAGAGGAUGUUUCGGGAGCAGCCCCCAUCUAAGUGUCCUGGAACGGACCGUCAUAGAGGGUGAGAAUC